Molecule: ribosomal RNA, 496 nt
Filed under: uncultured bacterium
Lineage: Bacteria
Description: partial 16S ribosomal RNA
Rfam family: Bacterial small subunit ribosomal RNA
Source: RNAcentral
AUGCACGCUGGCGGCGUGCGUAAUACCUGCAAGUCGAGCGAACGGACGAGAAGCUUGCUUCUCUGAUGUUAGCGGCGGACGGGUGAGUAACACGUGGAUAACCUACCUAUAAGACUGGGAUAACUUCGGGAAACCGGAGCUAAUACCGGAUGAUAUUUUGAACCGCAUGGUUCAAAAGUGAAAGACGGUCUUGCUGUCACUUAUAGAUGGAUCCGCGCUGCAUUAGCUAGUUGGUAAGGUAACGGCUUACCAAGGCAACGAUGCAUAGCCGACCUGAGAGGGUGAUCGGCCACACUGGAACUGAGACACGGUCCAGACUCCUACGGGAGGCAGCAGUAGGGAAUCUUCCGCAAUGGGCGAAAGCCUGACGGAGCAACGCCGCGUGAGUGAUGAAGGUCUUCGGAUCGUAAAACUCUGUUAUUAGGGAAGAACAUAUGUGUAAGUAACUGUGCACAUCUUGACGGUACCUAAUCAGAAAGCCACGGCUAACUACGUG